ACUUAUGAUACUUCACCCUGAAUAUGCCUAACCUUGGCUGCUAAGCAGGGUUGGGGUCAGACAGAACUUGAAUGGGAGACUUCUUGGGAAUGCUAAGUGAUGUUAGCU
Molecule: ribosomal RNA, 108 nt
Filed under: Paramormyrops kingsleyae
Lineage: Eukaryota; Metazoa; Chordata; Actinopteri; Osteoglossiformes; Mormyridae
Source: RNAcentral